This is a long non-coding RNA of Oncorhynchus tshawytscha (Chinook salmon), 811 nucleotides long. The record is from Ensembl. NCBI's taxonomy places the organism in Eukaryota, Metazoa, Chordata, Actinopteri, Salmoniformes, Salmonidae.
GUAUGGGACUGUGGGUGGAGGUAAAGUGGUAUGGGAAUGUAGGUUGAGGUAAAGAUGUAUGGGACUGUAGGUGGAGUUAUGUGACUGUAGGUGGAGGUAAAGAUGUAUGGGACUGUAGGUGGAGGUAAAGAGGUAAGUGACUGUAGGUGGAGUGAAAGAGGUAUCUGACUGUAGGUGGAGGUAUGGGAUUGUAGGUAGAGGUAUAGAGGUAUGGGACUGUAGGUGGAGGUAUGUGACUGUAGGUGGAGGUAAAGAGGUAAGUAACUGUAGGUGGAGGCAUGGGACUGUAGGUGGAGGUAAACAGGUUUGGGACUGUAGCUGGAGGUAAAGAGGUAUGUGACUGUAGGUGGAGGUAUAGAGGUAUGUGACUGUAGGUGGAGGUAAAGAGGUAUGGGACUGUAGGUGGAGGUAAAGAGGUAUGGGACUGUAGGUGGAGGUAUAUAGGUAUGGGACUGUAGAUGGAGGUAGAGAGGUAUAGGACUGGAGGUGGAGGUAAAGAGGUAUGUGACUGUAGGUGGAGGUAAAGAGGUAUGGGACUGUAGGUGGAGGUAAAGAGGUAUGUGACUGUAGGUGGAGGUAAAGAGGUAUGUGACUGUAGGUGGAGGUAAAGAGGUAUGUGACUGUAGGUGGAGGUAUAGAGGUAUGGGACUGUAGGUGGAGGUAAAGAGGUAUGGGACUGUAGGUGGAGGUAAAGAGGUAUGAGACUGUAGGUGGAGGUAUGGGACUGUAGGUGGAGGUAUAGAGUUAAGUGACUGUAGGAGGAGGUAUGGGACUGUAGGUGGAGGUAAACAGGUUUGGGACUGUAGCUGGG